Non-coding RNA from Heligmosomoides polygyrus, 74 nucleotides. The record is from Rfam. NCBI's taxonomy places the organism in Eukaryota, Metazoa, Nematoda, Chromadorea, Rhabditida, Heligmosomidae.
GCGCCGGUUGUGUAAAGGCGUAGAGCAUUCCCGCGCGGUCAGAGGGGGUGCGGGUUCGAGUCCCGCCUGGCGCU